This is an RNA transcript of Gadus morhua (Atlantic cod), 3610 nucleotides long. RefSeq lists it as uncharacterized. The record is from RefSeq and is a predicted model, not a curated record. Lineage: Eukaryota; Metazoa; Chordata; Actinopteri; Gadiformes; Gadidae. The transcript is spliced from 2 exons.
CUCUAAACCCUCGGUGUACAGGAUGCGCGUGCACUUGUUUGGGGCAGCUUCAUCACCCGGCUGCUCCAACUUUGCCCUCAAGCACCUUGCCGCACAAGGCCGCGGCCACUACAAUGAAGAGGCGAUAAGGUUCAUCCAGAGAAGUUUUUACGUUGAUGAUGGCCUAACAAGUGUUUCCACAACCACAGAGGCAAUCAGCCUGAUCAAAGAAUCAAGAGCCCUAUGCAGAACGGGAAACUUGAGACUACACAAGUUUGUGUCAAACAGUAAGGAUGUGAUCAACUCAGUGCCACCAACAGAAUGUACUCAAGUCAAGGAUCAAGACAUAGCACUAGGAGAACACAUCGAACGAGCCCUCGGUGUCCAGUGGUGUGUUGAAGCAGACGAGUUCCAAUUCAGAAUCAUCGUGAAGGACAAACCACUCACUAGAAGAGGAGUGCUCUCAACUAUCGCCUCUGUCUUCGACCCACUUGGCUUUGUGGCGCCAUUCAUACUGCUCGGUAAGCAGAUUCUUCAAACACUGUGCAGCGAGAAGGUAACCUGGGACGAAGCGCUUCCAGAACACGUUCGCCCACGGUGGGAGUCAUGGCUGAGAGACUUACCUGAGCUGGCAUCUUUGAAAAUCCCAAGAAGUUACUCACCUGAAGAAUUCGGGAAGACUUCAAAGUAUGAACUACACAACUUUUCAGACGCAAGUUGCAUAGGCUACGGUGCCUGCUCGUACCUUCGAGUCACAAGUGAAACCGGACAGGUCAGCUGUUCACUCAUCAUGGGAAAGUCGAGGGUCGCCCCCACGAAACUGACCACAAUCCCAAGACUUGAACUAUCAUCUGCAGUCACCUCUGUGCGCAGUGGUGACUCCAUCAGAGGAGAGCUGGAAAUAGAAGCUCUGCCAGAGUACUACUGGACUGAUUCAAAGGUAGUACUAGGCUAUGUGAAUAAUGAUGCCAAGAGAUUCCAUACAUUCGUUGCGAACCGCAUACAGCGAAUCAAAUCAAGUACCGACUCUGCACAAUGGCACCAUGUCAGCUCCGAAGACAACCCAGCAGACCUGGCGUCUAGAGGAGCCAGUGCAGCCCAAUUGAAGGACUCUUGUUGGUUGAAGGGACCAGACUUCCUUUGGCAACCCAAUCUGUCAAUUAAAGAACCAAUAGUAGAAAUGGAUGAUGCUGACCCAGAACUGCGGAAAGCCUAUGUUCAUACUGUCAAAGUCGAAAUCAAAAACCCAUUGCUCAGCCAUCUAAGUAAGUUCUCAGACUGGUCAAGAGCUGUGAAGGCUGUCGCUAGACUAAAGAAAUACAUCAGGAAACGUAGUGGAGGUCAAGUAGGGACCGGCGAAACUACAAACCUGGAAGAGAGACGCGAAGCAGAGCUGUUCAUCAUCAAGCUUACACAAGAGGAAGCCUUUGCUGAUGAACUAAAGAAAAUCAAAUGCAACGGAGCUAAAAAACUCUGCAAGCGCAACAAGCUCUACCGACUGAACGCCUACCUUGAUGUGAAUGAUAUCCUCAGGGUGGGAGGACGGUUGUCUCAGUCAGCUCUGCACCACGAUGUGAAGCAUCCAGCAAUACUGCCACGGAAAGCACACGUGUCAGACCUGAUUGUCAAGUAUCACCAUGAACGUGUACACCACCAAGGAAGAGGGAUGACAAUGAACGAGAUACGCGCAAAUGGCAUAUGGAUUCUUGGAUGCGGAAGUGUCGUCUCCUCUCACAUCUACAAGUGCGUCCCAUGCAGAAAGUAUAGGAGAACCACAGAAGUUCAACAAAUGGCAGAUCUCCCAGAAGAGAGAACUCUGACAAGUCCUCCAUUUACCUACUGCGGACUCGACUGCUUUGGUCCAUUCCUUGUGAAAGAAGGAAGAAAAGAACUUAAACGAUAUGGGUUGAUCUUUACCUGCUUAUGCUCUAGAGCAGUGCAUAUAGAGACCCUAGACGACAUGACCACUGAUGCGUUCAUUAACGCCCUCAGAACACUCAUAGCCAUCAGAGGCCCUGUGCGACAACUGAGGUGUGAUCAGGGGACAAAUUUUAUGGGUGCUAGAAGAGAGUUUGCAGAGCUACUCAAGGGCAUGGAUCAAGAGCGCCAAAGGGAAAUCGGUUGUGAAUUCAUUGUGAACAUCCCAUCAGCAAGUCAUAUGGGUGGAGUCUGGGAGCGCCAAAUUCGAACAAUUAGAAGCAUCCUGACGACCAUGUUCGACAAGUGGGCAAACAGACUUGACACCACAAGCUUGAAGACGCUCAUGUACGAAACGAUGGCCAUUAUCAACAGCCGACCUUUGAGUGUUGAACAUCUCCACGACCCAACAGCUCCAGAGCCUCUUACGCCAAACCAUAUUCUCACCAUGAAAUCUGCAGUCAUACUGCCACCUCCUGGACAGUUCUGUAAAGAGGAUCUGUAUCUGCACAAGAGAUGGAGAAAGGUGCAGUUCUUGGCGAAUGAAUUCUGGCAAAGAUGGAAGCGAGAAUAUCUGCUGAACCAACAACAACGUCAGAAAUGGCACGGACCAUCAAGGAACUCACAAGUGAACGACAUUGUGAUCCUCAAGGACGAGUGCGCCCCAAGAAAUGAAUGGAAGCUCGCAAGAGUAAUCGAAGCUCAGCCUGGAAGAGAUGGCAAAGUGCGCAAGCUGAAGCUGGUGCUCAGUGAGACUUCUGUCGACAAGGGCAAACCUCACACAAGACUGAUUCAUUUAGAAAGACCUAUUCACAAAAUAGUAACGCUAGUAGAAGCCGUUUAGGACGCACACACACACACAGGCUACACACACAGUCAUGCACACACGCACACAGAUACUUAAAACUGGUGAAGAUAAAAGGGAGAAAUCCCACAUCUCAGGUCAAUGAGUGAUUUGGUGGGAGUGUAGCUGUUGCUGAAAGAGUACUUUAAAUAGGGUACAUGUCAUAUUAUAUAAAUGCUUUAAAUAUGUGUAAAUAAAUAAAUAUUAAUAAAUAAGUUCAUGAUGAGCAAGGUUAUAAAAUAUGAUUACAAAUGUGUGAUUGUUCAUCUCCUGGAGAGAACGUAUGUGUAUUUUGUUAAUUGUGUUGCAAGGCGGAACAAUUGUUGUAAUGUUACGCCCCCCACGGACUGAUAAGAGGAGAGAACAUGCAAGAAAGUUGGAGCCAUAAGCACGUUGUCUUCAGCUCCUCAAAAGAUUUACAAGUUAAAUGCACUGUAUGAUAAGAAACUUCAAGCAAACCUCUGUUAGAACCUCUUUUCGUUACAAGCAGCCAACGAGGUGCGGGUGCGGGCGCAGCUGCUGCAGGUGCAGGAGGAGCAACUGCAGUUGCACUUCUCAUCUAAAAUCAACUGUAGCCUAAUCGAUAUGCUCUCGUCUCGUCAAACUGAUUUGUUGGGGCAUUUGUGGAAUGGGGCUGGUGACCAUCAUUUUAAGAAUGUCAAUUGACCUUGAAUAAAAUUCUGAAGCCAAAUUAGUUUCUCGUUGAUUAUGCCUAUAUACGCAAUGUAGCCAUCUACACAAAAUUUGUUUCUCGUUCUCAGAGGGAGAGUUCAGCAUAUUGUGGCUGAAUUUCAGAGCUGUCCUGAACACAGCAAGAACAGAACACCUUUGCUGUAACAAUAAACACCUGAACUGGUUACCUUUAAUUUC